GAUGAACGCUAGCUACAGGCUUAACACAUGCAAGUCGAGGGGCAGCAUGAACUUAGCUUGCUAAGUUUGAUGGCGACCGGCGCACGGGUGAGUAACACGUAUCCAACCUUCCGUUUACUCAGGGAUAGCCUUUCGAAAGAAAGAUUAAUACCUGAUAGUAUGGUGAGAUUGCAUGAUAACACCAUUAAAGAUUUAUUGGUAAACGAUGGGGAUGCGUUCCAUUAGGUAGUAGGCGGGGUAACGGCCCACCUAGCCGACGAUGGAUAGGGGUUCUGAGAGGAAGGUCCCCCACAUUGGAACUGAGACACGGUCCAAACUCCUACGGGAGGCAGCAGUGAGGAAUAUUGGUCAAUGGGCGAGAGCCUGAACCAGCCAAGUAGCGUGAAGGAUGAAGGUCCUACGGAUUGUAAACUUCUUUUAUACGGGAAUAAAGUAUCCUACGUGUAGGAUUUUGUAUGUACCGUAUGAAUAAGCAUCGGCUAACUCCGUG
This 490-nucleotide ribosomal RNA is filed under the name uncultured bacterium. RNAcentral describes it as "bacterial SSU rRNA". It matches the Rfam family "Bacterial small subunit ribosomal RNA", at positions 28 to 507 of the family's 1533-position model. The record is from RNAcentral.